UCAAAUUAAAAGCAUUAGCAAAGGAUUGAUUAAAAAUAGAUAAUAUAUUUAGCCAAAUAGCUUUAGAGUUAACUGACGAACCCACUGAAAUUGCAGAACCUAAGAAAUAAAAGCCAUAAAAAUGUAACCAAAAAAUUGUGAAGAAACAAGCCUAAAAACAUAGUCUCGAAUGGUCAUCUACAUCAAUAGUGUCUUCGAUAUCUUCAUCACCACCGUCAUUGUUAUGUAAACCUACGAAAAUAAAUAAUGAAACUAAAAAAAACGUAUUAAUGACAGUACUAACUACAUAGUUGGCUCAAAAAAAAGGAAAAAAAUUAGUUCAUAAUCUACACCAUACUACCUUGAUCAUCUUCAUCAUCACCAUCAACUAAACGUAGAAAAAUAAGAAAAAUCAACUCAAAUUUGAAGGACAUAAAUAUGCGUAUGGAAAUAGCACAUGAAGACAGUACAUUAGCAACAAUUGCUGAUAAUCCCUUUUCAUCAUCAUCAUAAAUCUGAAACAGAAGCUGAAAUGAAUAUAUUAGCAGCUAGAUCAUCAUCAACAAAAAAUACUGUAUCCAGUGAUUCUUUGCUGGAAUGUAUCAAACAUAAUUAUAACGGUCUAUCAAAACAAUUAGCAAAUUUAAAAGGCCAUAUCUGCUGACGUUCCCAAAUCCUAUCUGAAAUAAAAAAAUAACAGUACUCAGCUGUUAGAUUUCAGUUUAUUAACAGAUCCUGAAGGAAAUCCAGUGGUCCAAAAAUUAGAAUUUCCGCUAUCAACAAUGGAAGAUAUUAUUUUGAUAAAUUCAAUGAAAAAUUAAAAGGCCAAAAAUAUAAAAAUAAAAUGAAUAAACGUAUAUACUUUUCUCUUGAUGGAAAAAAUACUUUUACCCGUAAUAUGGGAAAUAUUACUCGUGUUUAUAUAACAAGAGAUGACAUAUGUAGCAGUUAAAGCAACUUCAAAAAAAAGUUUUCAAAGAUACGACUUUUUCACUUCUAUAAAAAGUAUGUUAAUCAUUAUAUAGUGCAGAAUUACUAUCAUUGAUACCUAAUUAAUUAUUUCUUAA
Molecule: long non-coding RNA, 1046 nt
Organism: Melitaea cinxia (Glanville fritillary)
Lineage: Eukaryota; Metazoa; Arthropoda; Insecta; Lepidoptera; Nymphalidae
Exons: 4
Source: RefSeq, a predicted model, not a curated record